UAAGGGAAUUUAUGAAAUAAUAACGAAUACCUUAGAUUGGGAUAAAAUUUUAGGAAAAGGUGAGAAAGAGAAGGAUUGAAAGGGUUUUCCUGAAUAUAAAAUGAAUUUUAUCUAAAUAAAUAUUCCUUAAGUGGUUUUACUAUUUUCUACAACGUUUAGGCAAACUAUUAUGUUGUUUGGUUUUUUUAUUCUUACUAUCACAUACCAUAUCCUGUAUUAUAGGGUAAUGAUCAUAACAUACUUACU
RNAcentral lists this long non-coding RNA (246 nucleotides) under Carica papaya (papaya). Its description in RNAcentral is "long non-coding RNA (CPAP_LNC000808)". Lineage: Eukaryota; Viridiplantae; Streptophyta; Magnoliopsida; Brassicales; Caricaceae. The record is from RNAcentral.